GACGAACGCUGGCGGCGUGCUUAACACAUGCAAGUCGAACGGAAAGGCCCUGCUUUUGUGGGGUGCUCGAGUGGCGAACGGGUGAGUAACACGUGAGUAACCUGCCCUUGACUUUGGGAUAACUUCAGGAAACUGGGGCUAAUACCGGAUAGGAGCUCCUGCUGCAUGGUGGGGGUUGGAAAGUUUCGGCGGUUGGGGAUGGACUCGCGGCUUAUCAGCUUGUUGGUGGGGUAGUGGCUUACCAAGGCUUUGACGGGUAGCCGGCCUGAGAGGGUGACCGGCCACAUUGGGACUGAGAUACGGCCCAGACUCCUACGGGAGGCAGCAGCGGGGAAUAUUGCACAAUGGGCGGAAGCCUGAUGCAGCAACGCCGCGUGCGGGAUGACGGCCUUCGGGUUGUAAACCGCUUUCGCCUGCGACGAAGCGUGAGUGACGGUAAUGGGUAAAGAAGCACCGGCUAACUACGUG
Molecule: ribosomal RNA, 468 nt
Filed under: uncultured bacterium
Lineage: Bacteria
Description: partial 16S ribosomal RNA
Rfam family: Bacterial small subunit ribosomal RNA
Source: RNAcentral